RNAcentral lists this long non-coding RNA (390 nucleotides) under Capsicum annuum. RNAcentral's name for it is "long non-coding RNA (CANN_LNC007908)". The record is from RNAcentral. Lineage: Eukaryota; Viridiplantae; Streptophyta; Magnoliopsida; Solanales; Solanaceae.
UUCUGUUAAAGUCUUGCUAGGAUGGAUUACAUUCAUCUCUUGAACUUUUCUUUGGUAAUCCCGGACAGCAUUGGCAGCAGCACCACCAGCAAGAACGGCCUCUUCAAGCUCACGUACAGUUUGGGUAAGCUUUUCAACCUCUGCAACUUUUUGUCGAUGCAUCCUGUCCAAUAUUUUAUUUUCUUCCUGAUGUAUGUUUGUAUGAAAAACACAAUCAAGGGAAGGAUGAUUUAGAAAUCAAAAGAACAACAAAUUGGUCUAAUGUUCAUAACAGCAGAAGCACAAUCUCUAUGAUCAACGUACCUGGCAUAUUUCUAUCUGUUUCAUCAAUUCCUGGUUCUUGUUCUGAAGAUCAUCCACCAUAGACGCCUUUGCUAAUGCUGACUGCAC